GAUCAAUGAUGAAAAUUAGCCAAAUAUGACCAUUGUGAAAAAUUUUCCAGUGUGUGAUUAUUUGUCAGAGA
Small nucleolar RNA from Erpetoichthys calabaricus (reedfish), 71 nucleotides. RefSeq annotates it as small nucleolar RNA U2-19. The record is from RefSeq and is a predicted model, not a curated record. The transcript has a single exon. Lineage: Eukaryota; Metazoa; Chordata; Cladistia; Polypteriformes; Polypteridae.